This 30-nucleotide non-coding RNA is filed under the name Rattus norvegicus (Norway rat). Lineage: Eukaryota; Metazoa; Chordata; Mammalia; Rodentia; Muridae. The record is from RNAcentral.
UUCCAGCUAGAUAUACUUGAAUGUAUCUGU